ACAUGGCCCUCCUUGCCGUCUUCCACAGCUUUCUUGAACUGCAUGCCGCCGGCUGGUGGAUGCUGCGCGCUUGAAUUCCGGUCGAUCCCAAGAGGCGCAGUUCAAUAAAGCUGUGGGAAACUGCAGAGAGAGGCCAC
Molecule: non-coding RNA, 137 nt
Organism: Zea mays
Lineage: Eukaryota; Viridiplantae; Streptophyta; Magnoliopsida; Poales; Poaceae
Source: RefSeq, marked provisional